RNAcentral lists this transfer RNA (72 nucleotides) under Candidatus Brennerbacteria bacterium. Its description in RNAcentral is "tRNA-Ala". It matches the Rfam family "tRNA". Rfam says of the family: Transfer RNA (tRNA) molecules are approximately 80 nucleotides in length. Their secondary structure includes four short double-helical elements and three loops (D, anti-codon, and T loops). The record is from RNAcentral. Lineage: Bacteria; Candidatus Brenneribacteriota.
GGGCCGUUAGCUCAGUGGUAGAGCACUUCAUUUGCAAUGAAGGGGUCACCGGUUCAAAUCCGGUACGGUCCA